Molecule: ribosomal RNA, 253 nt
Filed under: uncultured bacterium
Lineage: Bacteria
Description: partial 16S ribosomal RNA
Rfam family: Bacterial small subunit ribosomal RNA
Source: RNAcentral
GACGAACCACACGAACGUUAUUCGGAAUUACUGGGCUUAAAGGGUGCGUAGGCGGCGCGGUAAGUAGGGUGUGAAAUCCCUCGGCUCAACCGAGGAACUGCGCUCUAAACUACCGUGCUCGAGGGAGAUAGAGGUGAGCGGAACUUAGGGUGGAGCGGUGAAAUGCGUUGAUAUCCUAAGGAACACCGGUGGCGAAAGCGGCUCACUGGAUCUCUUCUGACGCUGAGGCACGAAAGCUAGGGUAGCGAACGGG